GGGUUGUGAGGUUAAGCGACUAAGCGUACACGGUGGAUGCCUAGGCAGUCAGAGGCGAUGAAGGGCGUGCUAAUCUGCGAAAAGCGUCGGUAAGCUGAUAUGAAGCGUAAUAACCGACGAUACCCGAAUGGGGAAACCCAGUGCAAUUCGUUGCACUAUUGCAUGGUGAAUACAUAGCCAUGCAAGGCGAACCGGGGGAACUGAAACAUCUAAGUACCCCGAGGAAAAGAAAUCAACCGAGAUUCCCCCAGUAGCGGCGAGCGAACGGGGAAGAGCCCAGAGUCUGAAUCAGUUGGUGUGUUAGUGGAAGCGUCUGGAAAGUCGCACGGUACAGGGUGAUAGUCCCGUACACAAAAACACACUGGCUGUGAACUCGAUGAGUAGGGCGGGACACGUGACAUCCUGUCUGAAUAUGGGGGGACCAUCCUCCAAGGCUAAAUACUCCUGACUGACCGAUAGUGAACCAGUACCGUGAGGGAAAGGCGAAAAGAACCCCGGCGAGGGGAGUGAAAUAGAACCUGAAACCGUGUACGUACAAGCAGUGGGAGCACCUUCGUGGUGUGACUGCGUACCUUUUGUAUAAUGGGUCAGCGACUUAUAUUUUGUAGCAAGGUUAACCGAAUAGGGGAGCCGUAGGGAAACCGAGUCUUAACUGGGCGUCUAGUUGCAAGGUAUAGACCCGAAACCCGGUGAUCUAGCCAUGGGCAGGUUGAAGGUUGGGUAACACUAACUGGAGGACCGAACCGACUAAUGUUGAAAAAUUAGCGGAUGACUUGUGGCUGGGGGUGAAAGGCCAAUCAAACCGGGAGAUAGCUGGUUCUCCCCGAAAGCUAUUUAGGUAGCGCCUCGUGAACUCAUCUUCGGGGGUAGAGCACUGUUUCGGCUAGGGGUCCAUCCCGGAUUACCAAACCGAUGCAAACUCCGAAUACCGAAGAAUGUUAUCACGGGAGACACACGGCGGGUGCUAACGUCCGUCGUGAAGAGGGAAACAACCCAGACCGCCAGCUAAGGUCCCAAAGUCAUGGUUAAGUGGGAAACGAUGUGGGAAGGCAUAGACAGCCAGGAUGUUGGCUUAGAAGCAGCCAUCAUUUAAAGAAAGCGUAAUAGCUCACUGGUCGAGUCGGCCUGCGCGGAAGAUGUAACGGGGCUAAACCAUGCACCGAAGCUGCGGCAGCGACGCUUAGGCGUUGUUGGGUAGGGGAGCGUUCUGUAAGCCGUUGAAGGUGGCCUGUGAGGGCUGCUGGAGGUAUCAGAAGUGCGAAUGCUGACAUAAGUAACGAUAAUGCGGGUGAAAAACCCGCACGCCGGAAGACCAAGGGUUCCUGUCCAACGUUAAUCGGGGCAGGGUGAGUCGACCCCUAAGGCGAGGCUGAAAAGCGUAGUCGAUGGGAAACAGGUUAAUAUUCCUGUACUGGGUGUGACUGCGAAGGGGGGACGGAGAAGGCUAGGCUAGCCGGGCGACGGUUGUCCCGGUUUAAGCAUGUAGGCGGAGCGACUUGGUAAAUCCGGUUGCUUAUCAACGCUGAGGUGUGAUGACGAGCCACUACGGUGGUGAAGUAGUUGAUGCCAAGCUUCCAGGAAAAGCCUCUAAGCAUCAGGUGACAUUCAAUCGUACCCCAAACCGACACAGGUGGUCAGGUAGAGAAUACUCAGGCGCUUGAGAGAACUCGGGUGAAGGAACUAGGCAAAAUGGUGCCGUAACUUCGGGAGAAGGCACGCUGGCAUUAGGUAAAGAGACUUGCUCUCGGCGCCGAAGCCAGUCGCAGAUACCAGCUGGCUGCAACUGUUUAAUAAAAACACAGCACUGUGCAAACACGAAAGUGGACGUAUACGGUGUGACGCCUGCCCGGUGCUGGAAGGUUAAUUGAUGGGGUCAGCCGCAAGGCGAAGCUCUUGAUCGAAGCCCCAGUAAACGGCGGCCGUAACUAUAACGGUCCUAAGGUAGCGAAAUUCCUUGUCGGGUAAGUUCCGACCUGCACGAAUGGCGUAAUGAUGGCCAGGCUGUCUCCACCCGAGACUCAGUGAAAUUGAACUCGCUGUGAAGAUGCAGUGUACCCGCGGCAAGACGGAAAGACCCCGUGAACCUUUACUAUAGCUUGACACUGAAUAUUGAGCCUUGAUGUGUAGGAUAGGUGGGAGGCAUCGAAGCGUGGACGCCAGUCUACGUGGAGCCAACCUUGAAAUACCACCCUUUAAUGUUUGAUGUUCUAACUCGGCCCCAUAAUCUGGGGUGAGGACAGUGUCUGGUGGGUAGUUUGACUGGGGCGGUCUCCUCCCAAAGAGUAACGGAGGAGCACGAAGGUUAGCUAAUCACGGUCGGACAUCGUGAGGUUAGUGCAAAGGCAUAAGCUAGCUUGACUGCGAGAGUGACGGCUCGAGCAGGUACGAAAGUAGGUCUUAGUGAUCCGGUGGUUCUGAAUGGAAGGGCCAUCGCUCAACGGAUAAAAGGUACUCCGGGGAUAACAGGCUGAUACCGCCCAAGAGUUCAUAUCGACGGCGGUGUUUGGCACCUCGAUGUCGGCUCAUCACAUCCUGGGGCUGAAGUAGGUCCCAAGGGUAUGGCUGUUCGCCAUUUAAAGUGGUACGCGAGCUGGGUUUAGAACGUCGUGAGACAGUUCGGUCCCUAUCUGCCGUGGGCGUUGGAAGAUUGAGAGGGGCUGCUCCUAGUACGAGAGGACCGGAGUGGACGCAUCACUGGUGUUCGGGUUGUCAUGCCAAUGGCAUUGCCCGGUAGCUAAAUGCGGAAAAGAUAAGCGCUGAAAGCAUCUAAGCGCGAAACUUGCCUCGAGAUGAGUCUUCCCUGGGGCUUUAAGCCCCCUGAAGGAACGUUAAAGACUAUGACGUUGAUAGGCUGGGUGUGUAAGUGCAGCGAUGCAUUGAGCUAACCAGUACUAAUGAUCCGUGAGGCUUAACCUUACAACACCGAAGGUGUUU
This 2934-nucleotide ribosomal RNA is filed under the name Yersinia ruckeri. Its description in RNAcentral is "bacterial LSU rRNA". It matches the Rfam family "Bacterial large subunit ribosomal RNA". Lineage: Bacteria; Pseudomonadati; Pseudomonadota; Gammaproteobacteria; Enterobacterales; Yersiniaceae. The record is from RNAcentral.